This 437-nucleotide ribosomal RNA is filed under the name uncultured bacterium. Its description in RNAcentral is "SSU rRNA". It matches the Rfam family "Bacterial small subunit ribosomal RNA", at positions 26 to 518 of the family's 1533-position model. The record is from RNAcentral.
AGAAUGAACGCUAGCGAUAUGCUUAACACAUGCAAGUUGAACGUUGUUUUCGAAUCAGAAUGAGAGCAAAGUAGCGAACGGGUGCGUAACACGUGGGAAUCUGCCGAACAGUUUGGGCCAAAUCCCGAAUGAAUAAAAGCUAAAAAGCGCUGUUUGAUGAGCCCACGUAGUAUUAGGUAGUUGGUUAGGUAAAAGCUGACCAAGCCUACGAUGCUUAGCUGGUCUUUUCGGAUGAUCAGCCACACUGGGACUGAGACACGGCCCAGACUCCUACGGGAGGCAGCAGUGGGGAAUCUUGGACAAUGGGCGAAAGCCUGAUCCGGCAAUAUGGCGUGAGUGAAGAAGGGCAACGCAGCUUGUAAAGCUCUUUCAUCGAGUGUGCGAUUGUGACAAGACUCGAAUAAGAACGCCCCGGCUAACUCCGCGCCAGCAGCCGC